Molecule: non-coding RNA, 1256 nt
Organism: Callithrix jacchus (white-tufted-ear marmoset)
Lineage: Eukaryota; Metazoa; Chordata; Mammalia; Primates; Cebidae
Source: RefSeq, a predicted model, not a curated record
CUCGCUGCCCUUUGCCUGGGAUUAGCCUCAGCUGCUCUAACAUUCGAUCACAGUUUAGAGGCACAGUGGAUCAAGUGGAAGGCGAUGCACAACAGAUUAUACGGCAUGAAGAAUGGAGGAGAGCAGUGUGGGAGAAGAACAUGAAGAUGAUUGAACUGCACAAUCACGAACACAACCAAGGGAAACACAGCUUCACAAUGGCUGUGAAUGCCUUUGAAGACAUGACCAAUGAAAAAUUCAGGCAGGUGAUGAAUGGCUUUCAAAACCGUAAGCCCACGAACUGGAAGGCGUUCCAGGAACCUCUGUUUCAUGAGGGCCCCAGAUCUGUGGAUUGGAGAGAGAGAGGCUACGUGACUCCUGUGAAGAAUCAGGGUCAGUGUGGUUCUUGUUGGGCUUUUAGCGCGACUGGUGCUCUUGAAGGACAGAUGUGCCGGAAAACUGGGAAACUUGUCUCACUGAGUGAACAGAAUCUGGUAGACUGCUAUGGGCCUCAAGGCAAUCAGGGCUGCGAUGGUGGCCUAAUGGAUUAUGCCUUCCAGUAUGUGUUCAGGAGAAUGGAGGCCUGGACUCUGAGGAAUCCUAUCCAUAUGAGGCAACAGAAGAAUCCUGUAAGUACAAUCCGGAGUAUUCUGUUGUUAAUGACGCUGGCUUUGUGGACAUCCCUGAGCUAGAGAAGGCCCUGAUGAAGGCAGUUGCAACUGUGGGGCCCAUUUCUGUUGCUAUUGAUGCAAGUCAUGAAUCCUUCCAGUUUUAUAAAGGAGGCAUUUAUUUUGAGCCAGAAUGUAGCAGUGAAGACAUGGAUCAUGGUGUACUGGUGGUUGGCUAUGCAUUUGAAAGAACAGGAUCAGAUAACAGUAAAUAUUGGCUGGUGAAGAACAGCUGGGGUGAAGAAUGGGGCAUGGAUGGCUACAUAAAGAUGGCCAAAGACCGGAAAAACCAUUGUAGAACUGCCUCAGCAGCCAGCUACCCCACUGUAUGAGCUGAUAGACAGAGAUGAGGAAGGACUUGACUGGGGAUGGCGCAUGCAUGGGAGUUCAUCUCAAUCUUCCAGCCCCUGCUGUGACAGAUACACACUCGAAUCAUUGAAGAUCCAAGUGUGAUUUGAAUUCUGUGAUAUUUUCACACGGGUAAAUGUUACCUCUAUUUUAAUUACUGCUAUAAACAGGUUUAUAUUAUUGAUUCACUUACUGACUUUGCAUUUUCGUUUUUAAAAGAUGUGUAAAUUUUUACCUGUUUAAAUAAAUGUAAUUUCAAAU